RNAcentral lists this non-coding RNA (24 nucleotides) under Arabidopsis thaliana (thale cress). Lineage: Eukaryota; Viridiplantae; Streptophyta; Magnoliopsida; Brassicales; Brassicaceae. The record is from RNAcentral.
AGGUGACAAUAGAAGUGUGGCAGA